ACAGAUUGGCACAGUGGGAGUGUCUCUGUCCUUGAAGCAGGAGAGUGCAGGUUCAAAUCCUGGCUAGUUGUA
This is a non-coding RNA of Oryzias latipes (Japanese medaka), 72 nucleotides long. Lineage: Eukaryota; Metazoa; Chordata; Actinopteri; Beloniformes; Adrianichthyidae. The record is from Rfam.